RNAcentral lists this ribosomal RNA (207 nucleotides) under uncultured bacterium. RNAcentral describes it as "partial 16S ribosomal RNA". It matches the Rfam family "Bacterial small subunit ribosomal RNA", at positions 568 to 775 of the family's 1533-position model. The record is from RNAcentral.
UGCGUAGGCGGGUCUUUAAGUCAGGGGUGAAAUCCUGGAGCUCAACUCCAGAACUGCCUUUGAUACUGAAGAUCUUGAGUUCGGGAGAGGUGAGUGGAACUGCGAGUGUAGAGGUGAAAUUCGUAGAUAUUCGCAAGAACACCAGUGGCGAAGGCGGCUCACUGGCCCGAUACUGACGCUGAGGCACGAAAGCGUGGGAGCAAACAG